Molecule: long non-coding RNA, 1555 nt
Organism: Neofelis nebulosa (Clouded leopard)
Lineage: Eukaryota; Metazoa; Chordata; Mammalia; Carnivora; Felidae
Exons: 3
Source: RefSeq, a predicted model, not a curated record
CCUCCUCCUUUUUUAAACAACCAAAAAAAGCGUAUUUAUUUUGAGAGAGAGAGAGAGAGAGAGUGCAGGAGGAGGGGCAGAGAGAGGAGAGAAACAGAAUCCCAAGCAGGCUCUGCCCUGUUAGCGCCACCCCGUGGUGGCAGGGCUGGAACGCACCAACGGUGAGAUGGUGACCCCCCGCAGAAAUCAAGAACGGAUGCCUGACUGACUGAGCCUGAUUUAAUCCAGGCGCCGCAUCACCCCUUUUUAUACAUGAGCAGUGCCUCCAAGGGAUCAAGGUCACUUGGCUCUGGGUGACCAAGUCCAGCCGUGAACACGAACAGGGGGUUCAGAGUCAUUUGUCUGCACCCUCACUGAGCCCUGCACUAACCAUCACAGGCGUUGUCCUGGGUUGGGGCUCCCCCUGUGCCUCCAGGUCACUCUUCUGGGGUCGGGGCCACAGACCCCAUUUUCAAUGAGGCUCUGAGAAGCCACCACAGGAGUUUGUUGGUCACAGGGCUUUGUGUGACAUAGCCCCAACUGUGGGUUUGAACUCAAGUCAAUCUGACCCAAAGGUUGUGGCCUCUGAUCCCAGCCUUGGAUGUGAGGAUGUCCUGGGUGGGAGCCAUGGAGAGGGGCACUGGUGGCAAGGGGCUCUGAGGGGCGGGCUUCCUGGGGGAGGAAGGCUCUAGGGAGGCUGGAGUAGGGUGACGGGUGCACACUGGGGAGGGCGUCUGGACCAGUUCAUGCAAUGCUCUGGAUAUCAGGUAAGGAGUCGGGGGUCACCGCAGGUUGGGGAGGGAAGGGGACACAAUUCAGGCAAACCUUUUGGUUUUUUUUAAGUUUAUUUAUUUUGAGAGAGCAAGAGAGCGUGUGUGAUCAGGGAAGGGCAGAGAGAGGAGAGAGAAUCCCAAGCAGUCUCCACGCUGACAGCUUGGGGCUUGAACUCACGAACUGUGAGAUCAUGCUCUGAGCCAGUAUCGGGAGUUGGAUGCUUAACGUACUGAGCUACCCAGGCGCCCCCGGGCAGUCUUAUAAGAGCCACAGCAUCCUUGAUUUGGAGGGAGUUUGGUGGGCAUGUUAUUUGGCCCCACUCAAGCAUGGAUCCCCAAAACCAACCAGGGAGGAGGAGGCUGCCUCAGUUUCCUCCUGUGUAAUGGGGGCUCUGGGGGUCAUCUGCUGUCUCCUUCCAGGCUGGGGGCACGCUGGUUGGAGGGCCCAGACCUAGCCACGUCUCAGAAGCCACAUCUCACCAACUGCCCAAGAGGAAUUGGUGUCCCAGCCAUAAUCUCAUUUGGCCCUCACCCCAGGGCCUCAGAUGACCUGUCCAACAUCCCACAGAAAACUUCGAAGCCCCCCAGACUGAUGGGCCCUGACAACAUUGGUGCCUGGGGCUCAGACCCGAUCCUGCCAGUCAGGGGCUGAGGACCGCUGGGACUGUCUCUGAGCCCUCUCACCUCUGUCUGCCAGGCUGACUGUACGUGGAAUCCAGGCUGCCUGGAUCCCCGGUGGCUGGCCGCGCAGACGCUCGGAUGUGUAGGUGAAAACGCCCCGGUGAGGACUUCGUGCACGUCAC